This 253-nucleotide ribosomal RNA is filed under the name uncultured bacterium. Its description in RNAcentral is "partial 16S ribosomal RNA". It matches the Rfam family "Bacterial small subunit ribosomal RNA", at positions 524 to 776 of the family's 1533-position model. The record is from RNAcentral.
UACGGAAGGGGCAAGCGUUGUUCGGAAUCAUUGGGCGUAAAGGGCGCGUAGGUGGUUCUGUAUGUCUACCGUGAAAGCGUACGGCUCAACCGUAUUUUGUCGGUGGAAACUGCAGGACUUGAGGCUGGGAGGGGCUGGUGGAAUUCCCUGUGUAGCGGUGAAAUGCGUAGAGAUGGGGGAGAACACGCGUGGCGAAGGCGGCCAGCUAGACCAGUUCUGACACUGAGGCGCGACAGCGUGGGGAGCAAACAGG